GACGAACGCUGGCGGUGUGCUUAACACAUGCAAGUCGAACGGUAAGGCCCUUUCGGGGGUACACGAGUGGCGAACGGGUGAGUAACACGUGAGUAACCUGCCCUCAUCUCUGGGAUAACAGUCGGAAACGGUUGCUAAUACUGGAUAUGAGCUUGCAAGGCAUCUUGUGGGUUGGAAAGAUUUUUUUUGGUUGGGGAUGGACUCGCGGCCUAUCAGCUUGUUGGUGAGGUAGUGGCUCACCGAGGCUUCGACGGGUAGCCGGCCUGAGAGGGCGACCGGCCACAUUGGGACUGAGAUACGGCCCAAACUCCUACGGGAGGCAGCAGUGGGGAAUAUUGCACAAUGGACGGAAGUCUGAUGCAGCAACGCCGCGUGCGGGAUGACGGCCUUCGGGUUGUAAACCGCUUUCAAUUGUGACGAAGCUUUUUUGUGACGGUAGCAGUAGAAGAAGCACCGGCUAACUACGUG
This 468-nucleotide ribosomal RNA is filed under the name uncultured bacterium. RNAcentral's name for it is "partial 16S ribosomal RNA". It matches the Rfam family "Bacterial small subunit ribosomal RNA", at positions 28 to 507 of the family's 1533-position model. The record is from RNAcentral.